Molecule: long non-coding RNA, 2500 nt
Organism: Papaver somniferum (opium poppy)
Lineage: Eukaryota; Viridiplantae; Streptophyta; Magnoliopsida; Ranunculales; Papaveraceae
Exons: 7
Source: RefSeq, a predicted model, not a curated record
UCAUGGAAAUUGAGGCGAAUAAGCGAAGCAGCCAUUCAUAGGUCGUUCAUCACAGCUUCCCCAACCUUUGAAUAAAUGAUACGUUCAACAAAAUUAAUCUGAAGUAAUCCUAUCCACUUUUAUAAAAUCACACUUCACAUAAUCAUCCCCUUUUCUCGCAUCAGUCCGCUGAUGCGGUGUAGGAUAACGUUUACAGUGGUGUAGGUUAAGAGUAUUAUAUUCUUAUUUGGGCAUGUGUCUGUCUGAACUCUGAAGUGCUGCUGUAUACAAUUGUCAUCUUCCUCUGCUCCACCAUUAUUACUUUUCCUUCUUUCUUCUCCUUUCUCUCUGCAGAAGAAAUUUCUAGGGAUUUCAAAAAACAAAAAAAAAGGGAAAAACAAAGCAACCCCAACUCUUAGAUUUCUGCUCAAUCUACGAUGAUGCUUGGUAUACAGUAGAUAGACUGGUUUUGAGCAAGAAAAACACCCUUCGUACUGUGAAAUUCUUUGGGUUUGAUAAAGGAGAUGAUGAGAAGUUCAAUGUCAAGGAUUUCAAAACAGUGAAUGAGUUGGACCACUACCAUCAUCAUCAGCAACACCAUCACCACCAAUUUCCCAAUUCAUACACCGAUUCCGAUUUCAAUUCAUACUCACCACCACCCUCCUCCUUCUCAUUGAAAUUGUCUUCAAUCUUCAAACCAUUUCUCUUUCGAUUAAAGCACCACCACUACCAAUUUCAUCCUCUGCCUUCUUCAGCACUAUCAAAAAAUCACCAUUGACAGUUUAACACCGAGGAAACAAGAUUUUCGCUUUACAUCUCUGAAAGUUAAGAGACAAUUAGGUGGUUACUGUUGUAAUAUGCAAGUACUUAACAAGGCGGUUUGGGUAGUGUUGGUGGGUUAUAAGCAAUGGGGGGUGCAAGUAGCUUUAUUGGUGGUGGGAGUCAUGAAAUGCUAAUUUCUGGACAGAAAAGAGGGUUUCCUUUCUCUGGUAGAGGAGGGUUUGCUCCAAGUAAAUUAUUUCAUUGAUUUUUAUGCUAAUUGAAUUAUCCACAGGUGUAACUGCUUGAAAUUUUUUAACGUUUCCUCAUCAGUUUGACCUGAUUGACCUAAUUAAGUUAGGUAAUAUGAAGGUCAUGAUAUCGCUUACACUGACUACUAUAACAGGGUUUAUGUUGAGUAUUCUUUCUUUGAGUCGUUGCUUAUUUCUCUUCAGAUAACACUGAUGGUGCUACAUUCAUAUCUUUCCAUUGGAUCUGUUCCUAGGAAUGUGACUGAAAAAGAAUUUAGUCGUUGCUUAUUUCUCUUCAGAUAACACUGAUGGUGCUACGUUCGUAUCUUUCCAGUGGAUCUGUUCCUAGGAACGUGACUGAAGAAGAAUCAUUGUACCAAUGUUGGUCUUAAUGUUGCUGUCACAUAUAUGGGUAUAAGAGUAUAACAGACAUUAGACAACCCCCACAAGCAUCACCACCUCCUCCACCAGCACCAGCACUUCCGCUGCAAGCACCAGACAACCGCCAUCACAAAAAUGCCCAGGGCAUUUGGUCUAGUGGUAUGAUUCUCGCUUAGGGUGCGAGAGUUCAAUUCUCGGAAUGCCCCCAUCGCUUGCCCUUAUAGCUCAGUGGUAGAGCGUCAGUCUUGUAAACUGAAGGUCCGCAGUUCAAUCCUGCAUGAGGGCAUUGCUCUUUUUUCUUUUACUACUGUUUAAGAUCCCAUCAAAAUGAUCUUUAAAUGCUGGAGUUUGAGGGAAAUGUGAGAUUACACUUAACUGGUUAAAAUAUUUGAAUGAUUGUAGCAUGGACCAAAACAAACACAGUCGAAGAAGCAUGUGGCACUACAAGUCUGGCCUGCUCUGAAAGACAGUAAUUUUGCUUGUUUUUAAUGUUUGAGAGUUCUUUCUUCCUUCUAUAGAUAGUUGGUUGGAAAACCUUGUACUUAGCAAACAUAUCACGUCUCACUUUUUAGUUCGAAUGAAUGGACUUUGUGAUGCAUUUCAGUUUCAUUAAUUGUCUGGAGAAGUUUGUUUAAAACAGUUAGCGAUCUGAAUGGAGAUAUUGUUACUCAAAAUUGGGGACGAAGCUAUGACAGUGGGUUGCGACAAAAGAAUUCAUCGUAAAAAAGAAAUCAGACCUCUCUAUCUUAUAUGCUUGAUGUGGCUAAAGCGGUUUUGAGACAUGAUCAGGAACCAUGCAAGUUACUUUUCAGUGAGGUCCAGAGCUGUUAGAGUUGCACUGUUGUUGCUUUCAGCGUUGGAGCAAAGCUGCUUCAAUGAUGCUACAAAUUGUAGGUCGAGGGCUGGUCCAUCAGAGCUACUGCUGCUACGACCCUGAAGAGAAGAGCUGAAUGACGAGCACCUAGCUUGACCGAUGGUGUGUGCACCUGCAAACGUGUAGUCAAGGCCAACAUUCUGGAAUUUGGUGAUGAGGGUGUUCAGAUCUGAAUUUGGAGCUGGAAUGUUGUUAUUUGCAUCUGUUUUGCUAGCACUCAAGCUGUCCUUUCUACCCAUCAGAACAUCCCAUCCCG